This 400-nucleotide long non-coding RNA is filed under the name Jatropha curcas. RNAcentral describes it as "long non-coding RNA (JCUR_LNC001095)". The record is from RNAcentral. Lineage: Eukaryota; Viridiplantae; Streptophyta; Magnoliopsida; Malpighiales; Euphorbiaceae.
CUCCUCUCUCCUGCGCUUUUCUCUCUUUUUGAUCGAUCUGAUAUUCAUAGUUUCAAAUAAAUUCUUUCUCCUUCUUUCUCAAUCAUCUCAGAGUUACCGAUUAAUCUCACUGCAGACACCCCAGCUUAGUUUAGUCUCCCUGUCAAAAUCUCAUCUCCAUUAAUUGCUUCUUUGAUUCUCACCUUCGCUUUAAGUUUCAACUAAUUCAGAGAUAAGAAAUCAGUAAGUGAUGUAGAGUUUGAGUUGUCUUUUCAUUUUAUGUUAGAGUCUUCUUUAAUUUUUUUUUUUUCCCUUUUCUAUGAUUAUAGAAUCAUAAGAAAAAUGCAAUUAUAGAAAUUAUAUAAAUAUGGGUUUGCUCCUUUUAGCAGGAUUUUACUUAAGGGGUUUGAUGAGAAGUUAU